GUGGCGACCGGCGCACGGGUGAGUAACGCGUAUGCAACCCAUUUAUCAGAGGGGAAUAACCCGGCGAAAGUCGGACUAAUACCGCAUAAAACAGGGACACCGCAUGGUGAUAUUUGUUAAAGAAAUUCGCUGAUAGAUGGGCAUGCGUUCCAUUAGGUAGUUGGUGAGGUAACGGCUCACCAAGCCGACGAUGGAUAGGGGAACUGAGAGGUUGGUCCCCCACACUGGUACUGAGACACGGACCAGACUCCUACGGGAGGCAGCAGUGAGGAAUAUUGGUCAAUGGGCGAGAGCCUGAACCAGCCAAGUCGCGUGAAGGAAGAAGGAUCUAUGGUUCGUAAACUUCUUUUGCAGGGGAAUAAAGUGCAGGACGUGUCCUGUUUUGUAUGUACCCUGAGAAUAAGGAUCGGCUAACUCCGUGCCAGCAGCCGCGGUAAUACGGAGGAUCCGAGCGUUAUCCGGAUUUAUUGGGUUUAAAGGGUGCGUAGGUGGUUUGAUAAGUCAGCGGUGAAAGUUUGCAGCUUAACUGUAAAAAUGCCGUUGAAACUGUCGGACUUGAGUGUAAAUGAGGUAGGCGGAAUGCGUGGUGUAGCGGUGAAAUGCUUAGAUAUCACGAAGAACUCCGAUUG
This 629-nucleotide ribosomal RNA is filed under the name uncultured Porphyromonadaceae bacterium. RNAcentral's name for it is "bacterial SSU rRNA". It matches the Rfam family "Bacterial small subunit ribosomal RNA", at positions 88 to 715 of the family's 1533-position model. The record is from RNAcentral. Lineage: Bacteria; Pseudomonadati; Bacteroidota; Bacteroidia; Bacteroidales; Porphyromonadaceae.